This 101-nucleotide non-coding RNA is filed under the name Bacillus methanolicus. RNAcentral describes it as "SAM-I sequence". It matches the Rfam family "SAM riboswitch aptamer (S box leader)". From Rfam's summary of the family: The SAM riboswitch is found upstream of a number of genes which code for proteins involved in methionine or cysteine biosynthesis in Gram-positive bacteria. Lineage: Bacteria; Bacillati; Bacillota; Bacilli; Caryophanales; Bacillaceae. The record is from RNAcentral. RNAcentral also lists the same sequence under 1 other name.
AUCUUAUCAAGAGUGGCGGAGGGACUGGCCCUAUGAAGCCCGGCAACCGGUUUUAUACACGGUGCUAAUUCCAGCAGAGCAACUGCUCUGAAAGAUAAGAA